GCCCAGGGUCCCAGACUCAAGGCCCGGGUCGACCCCUCCCGGCCAAAGGUGACAACGGCCCGGGCAGCUCGAUGGUCUCGGGGUCCCCGUCCUCCCGCCAGGUUUCUCUGCUCCAGGACGACGCCCCUAGGACAGAAAGCCUCUCUCUCCUGAACUAAGAUGUACAUGGAGGUUCCUUGAAUGUGGAAGAAUUGGACAACACAGAUGUGUGGUUCCCACGAAUAGACUCCUGAGGCAUCGUUUUCUCACAGACUUGAUGUGUUUUUUUGACCGUCUUCGGUCGCUAUAGUGAUGAUAUAAACAUUUUCAGGCUAUCGACAUAUCUUGCUGUGAAAACUCCCCCUAAAACCAGUGAGAAGCUUCAGAGGCAAAUGGAUGUCCUUUUGAUCUGUCCACUGAGUGAAGACUAGGAGAUCUUCCAGCGUGUAGGAAAAGUACGAAUCUCUUCUGGGUAACCCAACGUGGCAAGUUAAAAGCAGGGAUUCUUACUCUAUACUUUGGAGUCAAACAGACAUUUCUUUUUUUAGAGAUUUUUUUUCCUAUAGGGCGCGUGCACUUGCCAUAAAGACAGA
Long non-coding RNA from Tupaia belangeri chinensis (Chinese tree shrew), 572 nucleotides. RefSeq lists it as uncharacterized. The record is from RefSeq and is a predicted model, not a curated record. Lineage: Eukaryota; Metazoa; Chordata; Mammalia; Scandentia; Tupaiidae. The transcript has 3 exons.